This 440-nucleotide ribosomal RNA is filed under the name uncultured bacterium. RNAcentral describes it as "bacterial SSU rRNA". It matches the Rfam family "Bacterial small subunit ribosomal RNA", at positions 338 to 795 of the family's 1533-position model. The record is from RNAcentral.
CCUANGGGUGGCUGCAGUAGGGAAUAUUGGUAAUGGGCGCAAGCCUGAACCAGCAACGCCGCGUGUGCGAUGACGGCCUUCGGGUUGUAAAGCACUUUUUCUCGGGACGAGGAAGGACGGUACCGGGAGAAUAAGCCUCGGCUAACUACGUGCCAGCAGCCGCGGUAAAACGUAGGAGGCGAGCGUUAUCCGGAUUUACUGGGUGUAAAGCGCGUGCAGGCGGCUCGAUAAGUUGGAUGUGAAAGCUCCUGGCUCAACUGGGAGAGGUCGUUCAAGACUGUCGGGCUUGAGGAUGGUAGGGGAAGGUGGAAUUCCGGGUGUAGUGGUGAAAUGCGUAGAUAUCCGGAGGAACACCAGUGGCGAAGGCGGCCUUCUGGACCAUUACUGACGCUCAGACGCGAAAGCUAGGGUAGCAAACGGGAUUAGAUACCCUGNUANUC